CAGGUGGGCACUCCUGAGACUGCAGAGCGGAAGAGACCACCAACAUUGCCCACCCCUGCCCACAUCCCUGGCCAAAGGGGAAAUUGUAUAAGGCCUCUGGGUUCCCAUGGGGGAGGGUCCAGGAGCGGCUUGACCCCUGCACCUGAGACACCGCCAGAACCUGAAGGAACAGACCAGAUAAACAGUUCUCUGCACCCAAAUUCCGUGGGAGGGAGAGCUAAACCUUCAGAGAGGCAGACACGCCUGGGAAACCAGAAGAGACUGCACUCUGUACACAUUACUGAUUCCAGUGGAAAACACCAAACUCCAUCUGGAACCCUGGUGCACUGAAGCUCCCAGAAACGGCGGCUCAGAUCUUCCUGGUUGCUGCCACCACGGAGAGCUCAUGGGCAACACCCCAGGAGCAAACUUGAGCCUUGGGACCACAGGUAAGAACAACUUUUCUUCUGCAAGUGACCUGCCUGGUGAACUCAAGACACAGGCCCACAGGAACAGCUGAAGACCUGUAGAGAGGGAAAACUACACGCCGGAAAGCAGAACACUCUGUCGCCAUAACAGGCUGAAAGAAAACAGGAAAA
This 578-nucleotide long non-coding RNA is filed under the name Rattus norvegicus (Norway rat). Its description in RNAcentral is "long non-coding RNA NONRATT008122". Lineage: Eukaryota; Metazoa; Chordata; Mammalia; Rodentia; Muridae. The record is from RNAcentral.